Molecule: ribosomal RNA, 506 nt
Filed under: uncultured bacterium
Lineage: Bacteria
Description: bacterial SSU rRNA
Rfam family: Bacterial small subunit ribosomal RNA
Source: RNAcentral
GAUGAACGCUGGCGGCGUGCCUAACACAUGCAAGUCGAACGGACCUGGAAAGAAGCUUGCUUUUUUCCAGGUUAGUGGCGGACGGGUGAGUAACGCGUGGGUAACCUGCCCCAUACAGGGGGAUAACAGUUAGAAAUGACUGCUAAAACCGCAUAACAUGGCGGAGCCGCAUGACUCAGCCAUCAAAUAUUUAUAGGUAUGGGAUGGGCCCGCGUCUGAUUAGCUAGUUGGCGGGGUAAAGGCCCACCAAGGCAGCGAUCAGUAGCCGGCUUGAGAGAGUGAACGGCCACAUUGGGACUGAGACACGGCCCAAACUCCUACGGGAGGCAGCAGUGGGGAAUAUUGGUCAAUGGGGGGAACCCUGAACCAGCGACGCCGCGUGAGUGAAGAAGUAUUUCGGUAUGUAAAGCUCUAUCAGCAGGGAAGAUAAUGACAGUACCUGACUAAGAAGCACCGGCUAAAUACGUGCCAGCAGCCGCGGUAAUACGUAUGGUGCAAGCGUUAUC